UAAGGAAUAUUGGACAAUGGGCGAAAGCCUGAUCCAGCCAUGCCGCGUGAAGGAUUAAGGUCCUCUGGAUUGUAAACUUCUUUUAUUGGGGACGAAAAAAGGGCAUUCUUGCUCACUUGACGGUACCCAAUGAAUAAGCACCGGCUAACUCCGUGCCAGCAGCCGCGGUAAUACGGAGGGUGCAAGCGUUAUCCGGAUUCACUGGGUUUAAAGGGUGCGUAGGUGGGCAGGUAAGUCAGUGGUGAAAUCCUGGAGCUUAACUCCAGAACUGCCAUUGAUACUAUCUGUCUUGAAUAUUGUGGAGGUAAGCGGAAUAUGUCAUGUAGCGGUGAAAUGCUUAGAUAUGACAUAGAACACCUAUUGCGAAGGCAGCUUACUACGCAUAUAUUGACACUGAGGC
RNAcentral lists this ribosomal RNA (400 nucleotides) under uncultured bacterium. RNAcentral's name for it is "bacterial SSU rRNA". It matches the Rfam family "Bacterial small subunit ribosomal RNA", at positions 355 to 752 of the family's 1533-position model. The record is from RNAcentral.